AUAUUACCUGGCGUAGAGGUCAACCGUGAUCAAGAAGGCGGUUCCUCCGGGGCGAGGCUCUCCCAUUACACUACGGCUGAGCUGACCCUUGCGAUUAUCCCUAAUGUGGAUAAAUCGGACGCGUAAUUUUUGGUAGUCGGGACUGCGUACGCGCCAUACGCUGUCCCGG
RNAcentral lists this small nuclear RNA (169 nucleotides) under Sitophilus oryzae (rice weevil). Its description in RNAcentral is "U1 spliceosomal RNA". It matches the Rfam family "U1 spliceosomal RNA". From Rfam's summary of the family: U1 is a small nuclear RNA (snRNA) component of the spliceosome (involved in pre-mRNA splicing). Its 5' end forms complementary base pairs with the 5' splice junction, thus defining the 5' donor site of an intron. Lineage: Eukaryota; Metazoa; Arthropoda; Insecta; Coleoptera; Curculionidae. The record is from Rfam by way of RNAcentral.